CUAUACAUGCAGUCGAGCGAAUGGAUUAGAGAGCUUGCUCUUAUGAAGUUAGCGGCGGACGGGUGAGUAACACGUGGGUAACCUGCCCAUAAGACUGGGAUAACUCCGGGAAACCGGGGCUAAUACCGGAUAACAUUUUGAACCGCAUGGUUCGAAAUUGAAAGGCGGCUUCGGCUGUCACUUAUGGAUGGACCCGCGUCGCAUUAGCUAGUUGGUGAGGUAACGGCUCACCAAGGCAACGAUGCGUAGCCGACCUGAGAGGGUGAUCGGCCACACUGGGACUGAGACACGGCCCAGACUCCUACGGGAGGCAGCAGUAGGGAAUCUUCCGCAAUGGACGAAAGUCUGACGGAGCAACGCCGCGUGAGUGAUGAAGGCUUUCGGGUCGUAAAACUCUGUUGUUAGGGAAGAACAAGUGCUAGUUGAAUAAGCUGGCACCUUGACGGUACCUAACCAGAAAGCCACGGCUAACUACGUGCCAGCAGCCGCGGUAAUACGUAGGUGGCAAGCGUUAUCCGGAAUUAUUGGGCGUAAAGCGCGCGCAGGUGGUUUCUUAAGUCUGAUGUGAAAGCCCACGGCUCAACCGUGGAGGGUCAUUGGAAACUGGGAGACUUGAGUGCAGAAGAGGAAAGUGGAAUUCCAUGUGUAGCGGUGAAAUGCGUAGAGAUAUGGAGGAACACCAGUGGCGAAGGCGACUUUCUGGUCUGUAACUGACACUGAGGCGCGAAAGCGUGGGGAGCCAACAGGAUUAGAUACCCUGGUAGUCCACGCCGUAAACGAUGAGUGCUAAAUGUUAGAAGGGUUUCCGCCCCUUUAUUGCUGAAGUUAACGCAUUAUUCACUCCGCCUGGCGGAGUACGGCCGCCAGGGCUGAAACUCAAAAGAAAUUGAACGGCGGCCCGCCCCAAACUGUUGCAGCAAGUUGGUUUGAUUUCAAAUCCAACGCCCACAAAA
RNAcentral lists this ribosomal RNA (953 nucleotides) under Bacillus tropicus. RNAcentral's name for it is "bacterial SSU rRNA". It matches the Rfam family "Bacterial small subunit ribosomal RNA", at positions 49 to 968 of the family's 1533-position model. Lineage: Bacteria; Bacillati; Bacillota; Bacilli; Caryophanales; Bacillaceae. The record is from RNAcentral.